AUAUAAUUAGGGUGGUUUUUUUUCAGAAAUUCUUUUCCUUCUGUUUUUUUAUUUUGUUUACACUAUCCUUUCUCCUCUUUUUAGUUUACUUUAGUUUUUUUCUGCCUGUUUUAAGUUUUUUUUUUAGUUUUUAAAAGUUUUUUUUAGAAAUACUAUUCUUUUUUUUCUUUUUUUAGUUUUCUUUAGUUUUAUUCUGCCUGUUGUUAAGGUUUUUUUUUAGGUUUUUUUCAGUUUUUUUGUUAUUUAUAUAUAUAUAUAGGUUGUUCUUUUCUGAAAUACUUUUCCUUCUGUUUUUUUUUUAUUUUGUUUAUACCAUCCUUUCUAUCCUUUAUUUCUUUAGUUUUUUUCUGCCUGUUUUAAGUUUUUGUUUUUUUGUUUUUUUGUUUUUUCUAUAUAUUUCGGGUGUUUUUUCUGAUAUACUUUUCUUUCUGUUUUUUCAAUUUUGUUUAUACUAUCCUUUCUCUUUUUUUAGUUUUCUCUAGUUUUUUUUCUGCCUGUUUUAAGUUUUUUUAUUAGUUUUUUUAGUUUUUUUCUGUUAUAUAUAAUUAGGGUGUUUUUUUUUCAGAAAUUCUUUUCCUUCUGUUUUUUUAUUUUGUUUACACUAUCCUUUCUCCUCUUUUUAGUUUACUUUAGUUUUUUCUGCCUGUUUUAAGUUUUUUUUUAGUUUUUUAAAGUUUUUUUUAGAAAUACUAUUCUUUUUCUUCUUUUUUUAGUUUUCUUUAGUUUUAUUCUGCCUGUUUUUAAGGGUUUUUUUUAGUUUUUUUUUCAGUUUUUUUGUUAUUUAUAUAUAUAUAUAGGUUUUUCUUUUCUGAAAUACUUUUCCUUCUGUUUUUUUUUUUUAUUUUGUUUAUACCAUCCUUUCUAUCCUUUAUCCUAUCCUUUCUUUUAGUUUUUUUAGUUCUUUUUGUUAUAUAUAUUUAGGGUGUUUUUUUUCAGAAAUACUUUUCCUUCUGUUUUUUUAAUUUUGUUUACACUAUCCUUUCUCCUUUUUUUAGUUUACUUUAGUUUUUUCUGCCUGUUUUAAGUUUUUUUUAUUUUUUUAACGUUUUUUUAGAAAUACUAUUCUUUUUCUUCUUUUUUAGUUUUCUUUAGUUUUAUUCUGCCUGUUUUUAAGUUUUUUUUAAGUUUUUUUUUGUUAUUUAUAUAUAUAUAUAUAUAGGUUGUUCUUUUCUGAAAUACUUUUCCUUCUGUUUUUUAUUUUGUUUAUACUAUCCUUUCUCUUUUUUUUAGUUUUCUUUAGUUUUUUUUCUGCCUGUUUUAAUUUUUUUUUGUUUUUUUUUUGUUUUUUCUAUAUAUUUAGGGUGUUUUUUUCUGAUAUACUUUUCUUUCUGUUUUUUUUUAUUUUGUUUUAACUAUCCUUUCUCUUUUGUAGUUUUCUUCAUUUUUUUCUUCAUGUUUUAAUUUUUUUUUUAGUUUUUUCUAUAUAUUUAGGGUGUUUUUUUCUGAAAUACUUUUCCUUCUGUUUUUUUUAUUUUGUUUAUACUUUCCUUUCUCUUUUUUUAAUUUUCUUUAGUUUUUUGUCUGCCUGUUUUAAGUUUUUCUUUUAGUUUUUUUAGUUAUUUUUGUAAUAUAUUAAGGGUGUUUUAUCAGAAAUACUUUUCCUUCUUUUUUUUAUUUUGUUUAUAAUAUCCUUUCUCCUUUUUUAGUUUACUUUAGAUUUUUCUGCCUGUUUUAAGUUUUUUAAAAGUUUUUUUUAGUUCUUUUUGUAAUAUAUUUAGGGUGUUUUUUCAGAAAUACUUUUCCUUCUGUUUUUUAAUUUUGUUUAUACUAUUUUUAGUUUUCUUUAGUUUUUUUCUGCCUGUUUAAAGUUUUUUUUUUGUUUUUUUUUAGUUUUUUUUUAUUUAUAAAUAUAUUUAGGGUGUUUUUUUCAGAUAUACUUUUCCUUCUGUUUUUUUAUUUUGUUUAUACCAUCCUUUCUAUUUUUUAGUUUUCUUUAGUUUUUUUCUGCCUGUUUUAAGUUUUGUUUUGUUUUUUUAGUUUUUUUUUGUUUUUUCUAUAUAUUUAGGGUGUUUUUUCUGAAAUACUUUUCCUUCUGUUUUUUUUUAUUUUGUUUACACUAUCCUUUCUCCUUUUUUAGUUUACUUUAGUUUUUUUCUGCCUGUUAAGUUUUUUUUUAGAUUUUUUUUAGUUUUUUAAAGUUUUUUUUAGAAAUACUAUUCUUUUUCUUCUUUUUUUAGUUUUCUUUAGUUUUUUUCUGCCUGUUUUAAGUUUUUUUUAGUUUUUUGUUAUUUAUAUAUAUUAAGGGUGUUCUUUUCUGAAAUACUUUUCCUUAUGUUUUUUAUUUUGUUUAUACUAUCCUUUCUCUUUUUUUAGUUUUCUUUAGUUUUUUUUCUGCCUGUUUUAAUUUUUUUUUGUUUUUUUUUUCUUUUUUUCUAUAUAUUUAGGGUGUUUUUUUCUGAUAUACUUUUCUUUCUGUUUUUUUUUAUUUUGUUUUAACUAUCCUUUCUCUUUUGUAGUUUUCUUCAUUUUUUUCUUCAUGUUUUAAUUUUUUUUUUUAGUUUUUUCUAUAUAUUUAGGGUGUUUUUUUCUGAAAUACUUUUCCUUCUGUUUUUUUAUUUUGUUUAUACUAUCCUUUCUCUUUUUUUAAUUUUCUUUAGUGUUUUGUCUGCCUGUUUUAAGUUUUUCUUUUAGUUUUUUAGUUCUUUUUGUAAUAUAUUAAGGGUGUUUUAUCAGAAAUACUUUUCCUUCUUUUUUUUUAUUUUGUUUAUAAUAUCCUUUCUCCUUUUUUUGUUUACUUUAGAUUUUUCUGCCUGUUUUAAGUUUUUUUUAAAGUUUUUUUUAGUUCUUUUUGUAAUAUAUUUAGGGUGUUUUUUCAGAAAUACUUUUCCUUCUGUUUUUUAAUUUUGUUUAUACUAUUUUUAGUUUUCUUUAGUUUUUUUCUGCCUGUUUAAAGUUUUUUUUUUAGUUUUUUUUUAGUUUUUUUUAUUUAUAAAUAUAUUUAGGGUGUGUUUUUCCGAUAUACUUUUCCUUCUGUUUUUUUAUUUUGUUUAUACCAUCCUUUCUAUUUUUUAGUUUUCUUUAGUUUUUUUCUGCCUGUUUUAAGUUUUGUUUUGUUUUUUUAGUUUUUUUUGUUUUUUCUAUAUAUUUAGGGUCUUUUUUUCUGAAAUACUUUUCCCUCUGUUUUUUUAUUUUGUUUAUACUAUCCUUUCUAUUUUUUAGUUUUCUUUAGUUUUUUUCUGCCUGUUUUAAGUUUUUUUUUUUUUUUUUUCUAUAUAUUUGGGGUAUUUUUUCUGAUAUACUUUUCUUUCUGUUUUUUCAAUUUUGUUUAUACUAUCCUUUCUCUUUUUUUAGUUUUCUCUAGUUUUUUUCUGCCUGUUUUAAGUUUUUUUAUUAGUUUUUUUUUAGUUUUUUUUAUUUAUAAAUAUAUUUAGGGUGUGUUUUUCAGAUAUACUUUUCCUUCUGUUUUUUUAUUUUGUUUAUACCAUCCUUUCAAUUUUUUAGUUUUCUUUAGUUUUUUUCUGCCUGUUUUAAGUUUUGUUUUGUUUUUUUAGUUUUUUUUGUUUUUUCUAUAUAUUUAGGGUGUUUUUUCUGAAAUACUUUUCCUUCUGUUUUUUUUAUUUUGUUUACACUAUCCUUUCUCCUUUUUUAGUUUACUUUAGUUUUUUUCUGCCUGUUAAGUUUUUUUUUAGAUUUUUUUUUAGUUUUUUAAAGUUUUUUUAGAAAUACUAUUCUUUUUCUUCUUUUUUUAGUUUUCUUUAGUUUUUGUCUGCCUGUUUUAAGUUUUUUUUAGUUUUUUGUUAUUUAUAUAUAUUAAGGGUGUUCUUUUCUGAAAUACUUUUCCUUCUGUUUUUUUUAUUUUGUUUAUACUAUCCUUUCUCUUUUUUAGUUUUCUUUAGUUUUUGUCUGCCUGUUCUAAGUUUUUUUUUCAGUUUUUUGAAGUUUUUUUGGAAAUACUAAUCUUCUUUUUAUUAGUUUUCUUUAGUUUUUUUCUGCCUGUUUUAAUUUUUCUAUUUUUUGUUUUCUUUAGUUUUUUUUUUCUUCAGUUUUUUUCCCUAUUUUUUUCCCUGGCACCUCUGUCUGGAUGAGCUACUCUUAGUCUGGUCCCUACCCCAGGACCUGCUGCCUUGGGUAACCUUUCAGAGGCAUAAAGCCCUGACAACAUAGCUCCUGGGAUCAUUGGGACACACAAACCCCUCCACCACGGUAAGGUGGUAGCUCAAGGAGGGGAAAAAACCCUCACAUGGGAGGGAAAAACCGCAAGGGUUUUUUUUUCUGUCCAAAACACCCGGUUUAGGGUGGGUUUUUGUUCCUUUUUUUCAGAAAUACUUUUCUUUUCUUUAGUUUCCUAUAGUUCUUUUUUAUUUUUCUGCCUGUUUUAAGUUUUUUUUUUCAGAAAUACUGUGAUUUUACUUUUUUUUUUUUUUUUUACAAAUACUAUUCUUUUUCUUUGUUUUCUUUAGUUUUUUUCUGCAUGUUUAAAGUUUUUUUUUAGUUUUUUUGUUAUUUAUAAAUAUAAAGGGUUUCCCUUUCUAAAAUACUUUUCCUUCUGUUUUUUUUAUUUUGUUUAUACUAUCCUUUCUCUUUUUUAGUUUUCUUUAGUUUUUUUCUACCUGUUUUAAUUUUUUUUUGUUUUUGUUUUUUCUAUAUAUUUAGGGUCUUUUUUUCUGAAAUACUUUUCCCUCUGUUUUUUUAUUUUGUUUAUACUAUCCUUUCUCUUUUUUAGUUUUCUUUAGUUUUUUUCUGCCUGUUUUAAGUUUUUUUGUUGUUUUUUUUUGUUUUUUCUAUAUAUUUGGGGUGUUUUUUCUGAUAUACUUUUCUUUCUGUUUUUUCAAUUUUGUUUAUACUAUCCUUUCUCUUUUUUUAGUUUUCUCUAGUUUUUUUUCUGCCUGUUUUAAGUUUUUUUAUUAGUUUUUUUAGUUUUUUUCUGUUAUAUAUAAUUAGGGUGUUUUUUUUCAGAAAUUCUUUUCCUUCUGUUUUUUUAUUUUGUUUACACUAUCCUUUCUCCUCUUUUUAGUUUUCUUUAGUUUUAUUCUGCCUGUUUGUAAGUGUUUUUUUAAGUUUUUUUUUGUUUUUUUGUUAUUUAUAUAUAUAUA
Molecule: long non-coding RNA, 5033 nt
Filed under: Xyrichtys novacula (pearly razorfish)
Lineage: Eukaryota; Metazoa; Chordata; Actinopteri; Labriformes; Labridae
Source: RNAcentral